This 638-nucleotide long non-coding RNA is filed under the name Homo sapiens (human). RNAcentral's name for it is "HSALNT0246144". Lineage: Eukaryota; Metazoa; Chordata; Mammalia; Primates; Hominidae. The record is from RNAcentral.
GUCCCGCUUCUCCAUCACGCACGUGUCUGACUCGGACGCCGAGUCCAAGAGAGGACCUGAAGCUGGUGCCGGGGGUGAGAGUAAAGAGGCUUGAGACCUGGGCAGCUCCUGCCCCUCAAGGCUGGCGUCACCGGAGCCCCUGCCAGGCAGCAGCGAGGAUGGUGACCGAGAAGGUGGGGACCACGUCCUGGUGGCUGUUGGCAGCAGAUUCAGGUGCCUCUGCCCCACGCGGUGUCCUGGAGAAGCCCGUGGGAUGAGAGGCCCUGGAUGGUAGAUCGGCCAUGCUCCGCCCCAGAGGCAGAAUUCGUCUGGGCUUUUAGGCUUGCUGCUAGCCCCUGGGGGCGCCUGGAGCCACAGUGGGUGUCUGUACACACAUACACACUCAAAAGGGGCCAGUGCCCCUGGGCACGGCGGCCCCCACCCUCUGCCCUGCCUGCCUGGCCUCGGAGGACCCGCAUGCCCCAUCCGGCAGCUCCUCCGGUGUGCUCACAGGACACUUAAACCAGGACGAGGCAUGGCCCCGAGACACUGGCAGGUUUGUGAGCCUCUUCCCACCCCCUGUGCCCCCACCCUUGCCUGGUUCCUGGUGGCUCAGGGCAAGGAGUGGCCCUGGGCGCCCGUGUCGGUCCUGUUUCCGC